GUGGGGAAUUUUGGACAAUGGGGGCAACCCUGAUCCAGCAAUGCCGCGUGCAGGAAGAAGGCCUUCGGGUUGUAAACUGCUUUUGUACGGAACGAAAAGGCUCUGGUUAAUACCUGGGGCACAUGACGGUACCGUAAGAAUAAGCAACGGCUAACUACGUGCCAGCAGCCGCGGUAAUACGUAGGGUGCAAGCGUUAAUCGGAAUUACUGGGCGUAAAGCGUGCGCAGGUGGUGCUGUAAGACAGGCGUGAAAUCCCCGGGCUUAACCUGGGAAUGGCGCUUGUGACUGCAGUGCUGGAGUGUGGCAGAGGGGGAUGGAAUUCCGCGUGUAGCAGUGAAAUGCGUAGAUAUGCGGAGGAACACCGAUGGCGAAGGCAAUCCCCUGGGCCUGCACUGACGCUCAUGCACGAAAGCGUGGGGAGCAAACAGGAUUAGAUACCCCUGUAGUCC
This 450-nucleotide ribosomal RNA is filed under the name uncultured bacterium. Its description in RNAcentral is "partial 16S ribosomal RNA". It matches the Rfam family "Bacterial small subunit ribosomal RNA", at positions 354 to 796 of the family's 1533-position model. The record is from RNAcentral.